RNAcentral lists this ribosomal RNA (433 nucleotides) under uncultured bacterium. RNAcentral's name for it is "partial 16S ribosomal RNA". It matches the Rfam family "Bacterial small subunit ribosomal RNA", at positions 29 to 507 of the family's 1533-position model. The record is from RNAcentral.
AACGAACGCUGGCGGCAUGCCUAACACAUGCAAGUCGAACGAGACCUUCGGGUCUAGUGGCGCACGGGUGCGUAACGCGUGGGAACCUGCCCUUAGGUUCGGAAUAACUCCCCGAAAGGGGUGCUAAUACCGGAUAAUGUCUUCGGACCAAAGAUUUAUCGCCUUUGGAUGGGCCCGCGUUGGAUUAGCUAGUUGGUAGGGUAAAAGCCUACCAAGGCGACGAUCCAUAGCUGGUCUGAGAGGAUGAUCAGCCACACUGGGACUGAGACACGGCCCAGACUCCUACGCGAGGGAGCAGUGGGGAAUAUAGGACAAUGGGCGAAAGCCUGAUCCAGCAAUGCCGCGUGAGUGAUGAAGGCCUUAGGGUUGUAAAGCUCUUUUACCCGGGAUGAUAAUGACAGUACCGGGAGAAUAAGCUCCGGCUAACUCCGUG